This 253-nucleotide ribosomal RNA is filed under the name bacterium. RNAcentral describes it as "partial 16S ribosomal RNA". It matches the Rfam family "Bacterial small subunit ribosomal RNA", at positions 524 to 776 of the family's 1533-position model. The record is from RNAcentral. RNAcentral also lists the same sequence under 2 other names.
UACGGAGGGAGCUAGCGUUGUUCGGAAUUACUGGGCGUAAAGCGCACGUAGGCGGCGACACAAGUCAGAGGUGAAAGCCCGGGGCUCAACCCCGGAACUGCCUUUGAAACUAGGUUGCUAGAAUCUUGGAGAGGUCAGUGGAAUUCCGAGUGUAGAGGUGAAAUUCGUAGAUAUUCGGAAGAACACCAGUGGCGAAGGCGACUGACUGGACAAGUAUUGACGCUGAGGUGCGAAAGCGUGGGGAGCAAACAGG